GACGAACGCUGGCGGCGUGCCUAAUACAUGCAAGUCGAGCGAAUGACGAGAAGCUUGCUUCUCUGAUUUAGCGGCGGACGGGUGAGUAACACGUGGGCAACCUGCCCUACAGAUCGGGAUAACUCAGGGAAACCUGGGCUAAUACCGGAUAAUCCUUCGAAUCACAUGUUUUGAAGUUGAAAGGCGCUUCGGCGUCACUGUAGGAUGGGCCCGCGGUGCAUUAGCUAGUUGGUGGGGUAACGGCCUACCAAGGCAACGAUGCAUAGCCGACCUGAGAGGGUGAUCGGCCACAUUGGGACUGAGACACGGCCCAAACUCCUACGGGAGGCAGCAGUAGGGAAUCUUCCACAAUGGACGAAAGUCUGAUGGAGCAACGCCGCGUGAGUGAUGAAGGUUUUCGGAUCGUAAAACUCUGUUGUAAGGGAAGAACAAGUACGUUAGGAAAUGAACGUACCUUGACGGUACCUUACGAGAAAGCCACGGCUAACUACGAGCCAGCCGCCGCAGUAA
RNAcentral lists this ribosomal RNA (510 nucleotides) under uncultured bacterium. RNAcentral describes it as "partial 16S ribosomal RNA". It matches the Rfam family "Bacterial small subunit ribosomal RNA", at positions 28 to 523 of the family's 1533-position model. The record is from RNAcentral.